UGGGGGAGUAUUGCACAAUGGGGGAAACCCGUGAUGCAGCGACGCCGCGUGGGUGAAGAAGCGCCUCGGCGCGUAAAGCCCUGUCAGCAGGGAAGAAAAUGACGGUACCUGAAGAAGAAGCCCCGGCUAACUACGUGCCAGCAGCCG
Molecule: ribosomal RNA, 147 nt
Filed under: uncultured bacterium
Lineage: Bacteria
Description: partial 16S ribosomal RNA
Rfam family: Bacterial small subunit ribosomal RNA
Source: RNAcentral